UUGGCCGAUCCUGUGGCGAGCCAAAGUAACGUUUGGCCGUCGCAACGCGCGGAAAGGGGUGGGCUGACUACGGUUGGCUUAAGGUACGUGCUAAUCCCUUGGGAUAACCAAGCUUUGGUGAUAAGACCCGACAGGUCAAGGCACCAAAGGGCAGCUGGAGCAAUCCAACUGCUGGUAGGUUCACUUUUCAAAAUGUGAACCUUUAAUUGCUGUGAUGCCCUUAGAUGUUCUGGGCCGCACGCGCGCUACACUGACGGAGCCAGCGAGUACUUCCUUGUCCGAAAGGUC
RNAcentral lists this ribosomal RNA (288 nucleotides) under Pleosporales sp. RNAcentral describes it as "partial small subunit ribosomal RNA". The record is from RNAcentral. Lineage: Eukaryota; Fungi; Ascomycota; Dothideomycetes; Pleosporales.